UCUAGUUCGCACAGGUGAAAACGCGCACCUGAAGAGAAGCCCGCCACAGACAGAUGGAGACACAGAGAAACACUUGAGACAGGGAGAGGGCACGCUGGGGCUCGCCAGGACGACACGCUGUCGCCAUUUUUUUGUGUUUAUAUAUAUUGAGUGUUUUUAAUAUCCCUCUUUUGUAACGGCCUACCUUCGCCAGUGGAUUUCAUCUGUGACCUGUGAGGAUAUGAUAAGAUUUUGUAACCAUAGCCUUUGGAAAAAUCAGCAACUCAGUUGAUGUCGAUCCCUAUGUCAAUGAUGCAUGGUCUUCCAUCAAAAACAUAGCUGAAAAAGUGAAUUUUAAGACAGGUGAAGUGAAGCAAGAACGAUCGCUGGUGCAGAGAUGUCCUGGAUCUCGGUACCUCUACGCUGAACUCGCUAGCGGCUUGACUUCUUGUGCUUCGCUGCGGUGUCCACAACCACCCCUGUGACCCUCGAUUACCUCGCAUCUCAAGUCGCAGCGCUCUCUAAGGACAUACGGAGACUCAGCACGCGAACAGCAUCCCGAUCGAUUUAUCGGUCACGCUUCCGGACGCCAGCACCCACAAGCAGAGACCGAGACAACAGAGACCGGGGCUGCUGACGUUCCCCUCCGCCAUGACGGCGUAAAGAGGACCACACUCUCUGUUUUUAUCACUCUAGAUUAGAUCCCGCACUUAUCAGUGCGCCUCCUGGUAGGGAAACGAGCACUAGUGAAAAGAGGUUCCUCCUCUUCGUUCGAGAUGUCUCCUCCAUUUUUGUUUGCUCGUCAAAACAGGCACUGAGGUCAGCCUUCCCACCCUUCGCACCCUACAAACUGCCAACGUUUCGCCCAUCAUUGUUUACGGUGGUGAACCCAGCAAGCAGUUCCCUUGGGUCUUUCUCAUCGCUGAUGAGAUAUGUGACUAACUUCCUCGCCGCUUCAAUGUCAUUCCUAGCUCCGAUACCCUCAGAGACAUCUUCCUCAAAUUUCCAGCAGUGACCAAGCCGAUGAACCACGAGACGAAGCCGCCGCAUGGAGUUUAACAUCACAUCGUGACAGAAGGACCUCCUGCUCACUCCUGCUGCAGGCCGCGUCGUCAAGGCUGAGUUCGACUAUAUGAUGGAGCUCGGCAUCAUACGCCCUUCCUGUAGCCAGUGGGCAUCUCGUCAGGAUUGGAGCCCCUUUGUCGACUACCGUCAUCGCCACUGACAAAUACCCGCUGCCUCACCUUCAGACCUUCUUCAGUCACCAGAUAUCGGAGUCGAUCACCAUCGCAGACGAGGGUAUCCCCAAUAAUAACCCCCAAUGAUAACACCUUUCGUGCUCUUCGAGUUCAUACAGAUCGUUGUACAGACCUUCCAACGGUUCAUCGACGACGUGACACGCGGCCCUGAGGGCAUCUUUGUCUGUAUAGACAUUCUCGUCGCCAGCACCUUGAGCACAAGUCAUCCUCGUGCCCUAUUCAGCAGACUCCAAGAAGCCGACGUCGUCAUUAAUGCUGGGAAUUGCGUAUUUGGGGCCACAUCUCUCGCUUUCGUCGGGCACACCACCUCCGGCGACAUCAUCCCUUCACAGGAAAAGGUUUAUCUCCAGCCGUGCUCUUGCGAUCCGUCUCGUCGGCGAGGAACAUCAAUAGAACAGUUCUGUUACUGCCUUGAUAGGAGGCCAGAAUUCGCUCCGAAGACGUCUUCCUCUGGACGUUUCCUUAGGCUAUCGACGCCCAUACACCCCGCCCUCCGUCUGACGCCGUUUUGUCGACGCCUGCCACGAGCACUGCAGCAUCAGGGUCACCUAGCAUCUCAUCUGCAGUAAGGUCGUGUGGCCCGCCAUCAACAAGGACAUUAGACAGUGGGGCCGUACCUGCAUCGAGUGCCAGAAAAGCAAGGUCUAGAUGCACACUAAAUCUCCUCUUCAGAUUUUCCCCAUUCCAUUCCACCCUUGACAGGCACCCAUGCCUCACCUUCAGGCAUCGUUGGACAGCUGUCAUUAGAGGAGGGUUACUCUUACAUCCAGACCAUGAUCUAUCGCUGCACCAGAUGGCCCGAGGCUACGCCCAUCCUCAGCACCUACAUUUCCCGGAUUGGGACGCCUGCCACGGUGACUACCGACCGUGGCCCCCAGUUCAUUAGCACCCCUGUGCUAACGGCAUUGUGGAACACUUCCGUCGGCACAUGAAGCAGCCCCUUAUGUGCUGCUCCUCCGAUCGAUGAUGUCCUCCUCAACAUCUGUAUGUCCUUCAAGAUCUGCAGUGCUCCUUGCAGAUUUCGUCACCCAGACCAGCGACCAGACACCAAGAACCUACGGCAACCAACUCUGCAACCAUAUGGCAUAUAGUUUCGACCAAUGACCUUCGCCGCAACCCUACUGCGCCUUAUCAACCGGGCACGAGGAUAAAAGGAGCCGAUCCCGGCAGAAAAUCCUCCCUUGACAAUUAGGUCUCAAUCCGGCUCCUGUUCCCUAGCUACAUUGCUGUUUGCUUAUUCGCAUUCAAUAAAGAGAUAAACACCAA
RNAcentral lists this unclassified non-coding RNA (2504 nucleotides) under Penaeus japonicus. RNAcentral describes it as "uncharacterized LOC122257242, transcript variant X1". Lineage: Eukaryota; Metazoa; Arthropoda; Malacostraca; Decapoda; Penaeidae. The record is from RNAcentral.